This 253-nucleotide ribosomal RNA is filed under the name uncultured bacterium. Its description in RNAcentral is "partial 16S ribosomal RNA". It matches the Rfam family "Bacterial small subunit ribosomal RNA", at positions 524 to 776 of the family's 1533-position model. The record is from RNAcentral.
UACAGAGACUGCAAGCGUUGCUCGGAAUCACUGGGCGUAAAGGGCGCGUAGGCGGGAUGGCAAGUCAGUCGUGAAAUCUCUCGGCUCAACCGAGAAACGUCGGCUGAUACUGCCGUUCUUGAGGGAUGCAGAGGAGACUGGAAUUCCCGGUGUAGCGGUGAAAUGUGUAGAGAUCGGGAGGAACACCGGUGGCGAAGGCGGGUCUCUGGGCAUUUCCUGACGCUGAGGCGCGAAAGCGUGGGGAGCAAACGGG